AGCUUCAGUAGCGUAUAUUAAAGUUGUUGCAGUUAAAAAGCUCGUAGUCGCAUUUCUGGCGAGAGGAUCCGGUCCGACCUUUUGGUGGGUUCUUGGGUCUCUUUCGCCAUCCUUGAGUGGUCCGUUCUGGCAUUAGGUUGUCGGAGCGUCAGCCGCUCAUCGUUUACUGUGAGAAAAUUAGAGUGUUCAAAGCAGGCUUAUGCCGUUGAAUAUAUUAGCAUGGAAUAAUAAGAUAGGCCCUCGGUACUAUUUUGUUGUUUUUCGCACCAAGGUAAUGAUGAACAGGGACAGUUGGGGGUAUUUGUAUUUCGUUGUCAGAGGUGAAAUUCUUAGAUUUACGAAAGACAAACUACUGCGAAAGCAUUUACCAAGGAUGUUUUCA
Molecule: ribosomal RNA, 382 nt
Filed under: uncultured marine Chaetocerotaceae
Lineage: Eukaryota; Bacillariophyta; Thalassiosirophyceae; Chaetocerotales; Chaetocerotaceae
Description: SSU rRNA
Rfam family: Eukaryotic small subunit ribosomal RNA
Source: RNAcentral